GUACUUACAAAUCUGGGCAUCGAGUGAUGACCCUUUACUAAACCAGAGUAGUUUUUUUUGUCCUACUGAAUUAUACUUAAAAGGUAUUUACACAAAAUUAACAUGCUUAUUUUCAUGACUGUUUAAGUAAAUACUUAUCUGCAAGUAUUUAAAACUAUGUUUCUACUACAUUUAAUAUAUGGAGUUCAAUAUGGAAAAACUUCUAGAAGAGUCUAUUGAGAUGACAGCUUUAUCAUCAAGAGAAACAGACAAAAAUUAUUUAAGCCAAUGGUUUGGUAUUUCCUCAGAACAAAAGCCUAACAAUUAGUCUAGUUCUGGACAUUUUUCACAUCCCCAAAUAAUAUGAUGUUGCUGCGUUACAUUAACUCAAUCAUUCUGUCAAACAUUUGCAUGUUCAGUCUAACGCUAUAAUUUCAUCUUGCUCUUCGGUUUGCUCCAUACGCACUCUCUUUGUACUGACACACUCUUUAUCUUCUAGUUUUCUCUUGCGGCUCUUAUUUUCUGUAUCAUCAGCAUUACUUGAAUGGCCUUCAUCUUCAGAAUCAAUAAUAAAUAGAUCAUCUUGAUCUGGAGCCGUUGAUGUUGAAGGCUGUGCUCCGUCAUCGCUACCAUUGGUAAUGUUUUUGGAUGUUGGUUCUGAUGGUUUAGGGCCAACUUUUUCAGGGGCGUCGCCCACAACUUCGAAUUCUACAUCUUUUUCUAGGUCUUCACUAUGAAGCACAUUGAUUAACAGAGUAUAAUCCUGGAGGAAAUCAUCUGCUUGUAGUCGAGUGCCGUUUCGAAUUCCAAAGUCUGAUAAUUUCCUAUCGUUAUUUGCUUCUGUUUCUCCUUCUUCUGAGGAGAUAAGAAUGGUUCCCUUUCCAUCAUCUAUCUGUAUAUCCGGUGCUACCAUAGCAAAUUUUUCUUUCACUAUCUUGUCCUGGAGUGUUAGCACAGUUACUUUGUGUACAUUAAGUCUCACAGUCACUUCUGGCUUACUUGCACAUACGUAACAGUUAGGAUUUGGUGGAUCCAAAGCACAAGGAACCAAUAGCUUCUUUUUGGGAUUUGGCUGCUUGUUCAAAAAAAUCGUUCUACACUGAUCUAUUUUUCCUGAUAAAAUCUUCAAACCCUCCAACACUAUCAGACCAGCUAUUAUUGCAUUAGUAGUAGCUAUAGCUGGGAUAAUAUUUCCUGCCAUUGACUUGAUAUCAAAUCUGCUCUUCAUAUUCAUACUGAAAACAUGCAUCCUGAGGUUUGCAGCAGAAGUGACAAAAUCCAUUGCAGAAGGGUCAUCCUUAUCCCAUAUAAGCUCUGCUCCAUCACCUUUCUCAGCCAGGUGAAGUCUCAGGGUUUCAACACUUUUUGAGAAUAAGUGUGCAUAGCUCUUGACAUCGAGGACCUGCUGAUCUUUCAAAACUGAGGAGGAUUCAUUUUGUUGGUCAGGUACGUUUUUCUCUUGAUUUUGUACUUCAGCCCAAUCCAGUGGCACUGGAGGCUUCCUUUUCCUCCACAGCUUAUCCAUUGUCAGCAAAUAUCUAAUGUCAUCUUUGAAAAGCUUGGUAAAAAGCUUAACUGGAUCAUAUCCAGUUGAUUUAGCCCACUCCUUAGUUGAAACACGUUUAAUCUCACCAUCUUCAUUUGAUGCUCGUGCUCUGGCUUCUGCUUCUGCUGGCUCCCAGGCAGCUUCAGGAUCAGCUCUGUCAGGAGAGACUUCUUGAUCAGCAUCUUCUUCUCCAAACAACUGAUUAAACAAAUACUUGGCCCACACAAUGCAGUGGAUAGGUUCUGACGGCGUGUUACGGAUUGUGCAGCCUGGAAAAGUCUUCUGAGUUGGUUUAGGAUGACAUUCAUAACAUUCCGUCACUCCCUUCUUAAUAACUGUUACUUGACCAAGGUAGCCUGCAGUUCCGCUCUCUAUAAGAGGAACAUCAGCAGCCAGACACAUCCUGUUCACAUGGUUGCGGGCAGCUCUGUUAUCCAGAGCAUUCAUAACCAACGUAAACUGGCGGAAGAACUCUACGUUAUAGUCAGGGUUCAUGAUGCUAUCAUGGUAAGCUAUAAUAUUAGCUUCUGGAUAAAACUGUAACACGCUUUCCUUGGCAACCUGCGCUUUUGAUCUUCCAACAUGUUUCUUUUGAAACAAAAACUGCCUGUUGAGAUUGCUGACAUCAAUAGUAUCCAAAUCAAUCACGUCGAUGUUGCUGAAGCCGGUGAGCACCAGGUCCUUGAGGAGCUCGCAGCCGAUGCCUCCGGCCCCCACCACCAAGAGCCGCGCUUGGGCCACGGCCUCCGCCAGCUCGCUGCCCAGGGGGCCCGACACGGGCACGGACAUGACGGCGGGCGAAAAACGGCGACGGGCGGAAAGAGCGGCGCCGCACGGCUCUCCUCAGCCGGGCCGCGCUCCGGACAGCGAGCCCGCGCG
Molecule: long non-coding RNA, 2404 nt
Filed under: Gallus gallus (chicken)
Lineage: Eukaryota; Metazoa; Chordata; Aves; Galliformes; Phasianidae
Source: RNAcentral